GAGAAAGACGGGGCGGGGAGCCGCGGAAGUACGGGGGGCGAUAGCGUGGGUCGGAAGAGCGGGGCGAAAAGCGGAUGUAGUCGGGUACUCAAGUCAGAUGUGAAUGCCCGGUGCACAACCCCGGAACUGCCUUUGAAACGAGGUAGCUAGAAUCUUGGGGAGGUCAGUGGAAUUCCGAGUGUAGAGGUGAAAUUCGUAGAUAUUCGGAAGAACACCAGUGGCGAAGGAGACUGACUGGACAAGUAUUGACGCUGAGGUGCGAAAGCGUGGGGAGCAAACAGGAUUAGAUACCCUGUAGUC
This 300-nucleotide ribosomal RNA is filed under the name uncultured Prevotella sp. RNAcentral describes it as "bacterial SSU rRNA". It matches the Rfam family "Bacterial small subunit ribosomal RNA", at positions 495 to 795 of the family's 1533-position model. The record is from RNAcentral. Lineage: Bacteria; Pseudomonadati; Bacteroidota; Bacteroidia; Bacteroidales; Prevotellaceae.